Molecule: ribosomal RNA, 253 nt
Filed under: uncultured bacterium
Lineage: Bacteria
Description: partial 16S ribosomal RNA
Rfam family: Bacterial small subunit ribosomal RNA
Source: RNAcentral
UACGUAGGGUGCGAGCGUUGUCCGGAAUUAUUGGGCGUAAAGGGCGCGUAGGCGGCUUUGCAAGUGACGGGUGAAAUCCCCCGGCUUAACCGAGGAACUGCCUGUCAAACUGCAUGGCUUGAGACCAGGAGAGGUGAGUGGAAUUCCCAGUGUAGCGGUGAAAUGCGUAGAUAUUGGGAGGAACACCAGUGGCGAAGGCGGCUCACUGGACUGGUACUGACGCUGAUGCGCGAAAGCGUGGGGAGCAAACAGG